Molecule: ribosomal RNA, 2810 nt
Filed under: Hofstenia miamia
Lineage: Eukaryota; Metazoa; Xenacoelomorpha; Acoela; Hofsteniidae
Description: bacterial LSU rRNA
Rfam family: Bacterial large subunit ribosomal RNA
Source: RNAcentral
AGCGUACACGGUGGAUGCCUUGGCAGUCAGAGGCGAUGAAGGACGUGGUAAUCUGCGAUAAGCGUUGGGGAGCUGAUAAACAAGCUUUGAUCCAGCGAUUUCCGAAUGGGGAAACCCACCAACAUAAGUUGGUAUUCCUUACCUGAAUACAUAGGGUUUGGAAGGCGAACCCGGGGAACUGAAACAUCUAAGUACCCGGAGGAAAAGAAAUCAAUUGAGAUUCCCCCAGUAGCGGCGAGCGAACGGGGACCAGCCCUUAAGCAAUUUUUGGUUUAGUGGAAGACUCUGGAAAGUGUCGCCAUAGUGGGUGAUAGCCCCGUACACGAAAGGCCAAUUAUUGUGAAAUCGAGUAGGACGGGACACGUGAAAUCCUGUCUGAACAUGGGGGGACCAUCCUCCAAGGCUAAAUACUCCUGACUGACCGAUAGUGAACCAGUACCGUGAGGGAAAGGCGAAAAGAACCCCGUUGAGGGGAGUGAAAUAGAACCUGAAUCCGUGUACGUACAAGCAGUGGGAGCCUACUUUGUUAGGUGACUGCGUACCUUUUGUAUAAUGGGUCAGCGACUUACUUUCAGUGGCAAGGUUAACCGACUAGGGGAGCCGUAGAGAAAUCGAGUCUUAAUAGGGCGUCGAGUCGCUGGGAGUAGACCCGAAACCGGGCGAUCUAUCCAUGGGCAGGUUGAAGAUUGAGUAACAUCAAUUGGAGGACCGAACCGACUAUCGUUGAAAAGCUAGCGGAUGACCUGUGGAUAGGAGUGAAAGGCUAAUCAAGCCCGGAGAUAGCUGGUUCUCCUCGAAAGCUAUUUAGGUAGCGCCUCGUGUCUAACCAUCGGGGGUAGAGCACUGUUUGGGCUAGGGGGUCAUCCCGACUUACCAACCCCAUGCAAACUCCGAAUACCGAUGAGUUCAAUCACGGGAGACACACGGCGGGUGCUAACGUCCGUCGUGGAAAGGGAAACAACCCAGACCGUCAGCUAAGGUCCCAAAGUAACAGUUAAGUGGGAAACGAUGUGAGAAGGCCCAGACAGCCAGGAGGUUGGCUUAGAAGCAGCCACCCUUUAAAGAAAGCGUAAUAGCUCACUGGUCGAGUCGGCUCGCGCGGAAGAUUUAACGGGGCUCAAACUGUUCACCGAAGCUACGGGUACUUAACUUUGUUAAGUGCGGUAGAGGAGCGUUCUGUAAGCCGUUGAAGGUGUAUCGGGAGGUAUGCUGGAGGUAUCAGAAGUGCGAAUGCUGACAUGAGUAACGACAAGGGGAGUGAGAAGCUCCCCCGCCGGAAGACCAAGGGUUCCUGCGCAACGUUAAUCGGCGCAGGGUGAGUCGGCCCCUAAGGUGAGGUCGAAAGACGUAAUCGAUGGGAAACAGGUCAAUAUUCCUGUACCCCUUUUGACUGCGAUGGAGUGACGGAGAAGGCUAGGUCAGCGCAGCGUUGGUUGUCUGCGUUUAAGAUCGUAGGCUGGGGAUCCAGGCAAAUCCGGAUCCUCAAGGCCGAGAAUUGAUGACGAGGUUCUACGGAACUGAAGUGAUUGAUGCCAUGCUUCCAGGAAAAACUUCUAAGCUUCAGGUCAGAAGGGACCGUACCCCAAACCGACACAGGUGGUCAGGUAGAGAAUACCAAGGCGCUUGAGAGAACUCGGGUGAAGGAACUAGGCAAAAUGGCACCGUAACUUCGGGAGAAGGUGCGCCGGCUUUGGUGAUCGGACUUGCUCCGUAAGCUGAGGCUGGUCGAAGAUACCAGGUGGCUGCGACUGUUUAUUAAAAACACAGCACUGUGCAAACACGAAAGUGGACGUAUACGGUGUGACGCCUGCCCGGUGCCGGAAGGUUAAUUGAUGGGGUUAUCUUCGGAGAAGCUCUUGAUCGAAGCCCCGGUAAACGGCGGCCGUAACAAUAACGGUCCUAAGGUAGCGAAAUUCCUUGUCGGGUAAGUUCCGACCUGCACGAAUGGCGUAACGAUGGCCACGCUGUCUCCACCCGAGACUCAGUGAAAUUGAAAUCGCUGUUAAGAUGCAGCGUAUCCGCGGCUAGACGGAAAGACCCCGUGAACCUUUACUACAGCUUCACAGUGGAUCUUGAUGUUGCUUGUGUAGGAUAGGUGGGAGGCUUUGAAGCGUGAACGCCAGUUUGCGUGGAGCCAUCCUUGAAAUACCACCCUGGCAAUAUUGAGGUUCUAACCCAGGUCCUGAAACGGGAUCGGGGACAUUGUGUGGUGGGUAGUUUGACUGGGGCGGUCUCCUCCCAAAGAGUAACGGAGGAGCACGAAGGUUGGCUAAGUACGGUCGGACAUCGUACGGUUAGUGUAAUGGCACAAGCCAGCUUGACUGCGAGAGGUACAUCUCGAGCAGGUACGAAAGUAGGUCAUAGUGAUCCGGUGGUUCUGAAUGGAAGGGCCAUCGCUCAACGGAUAAAAGGUACUCCGGGGAUAACAGGCUGAUACCGCCCAAGAGUUCACAUCGACGGCGGUGUUUGGCACCUCGAUGUCGGCUCAUCACAUCCUGGGGCUGAAGCCGGUCCCAAGGGUAUGGCUGUUCGCCAUUUAAAGUGGUACGCGAGCUGGGUUUAGAACGUCGUGAGACAGUUCGGUCCCUAUCUGCCGUGGACGUUGGAAGUUUGAGAAGAGCUGCUCCUAGUACGAGAGGACCGGAGUGGACGGACCACUGGUGUUCGGGUUGUGUCGCCAGACGCAUUGCCCGGUAGCUAUGUUCGGACGGGAUAACCGCUGAAAGCAUCUAAGCGGGAAGCCCCCUUCAAGAUGAGACUUCCCUGGGCACCAGAUGCCCCUGAAGAGCCGUUAAAGACUAUGACGUUGA